RNAcentral lists this ribosomal RNA (406 nucleotides) under uncultured bacterium. RNAcentral's name for it is "partial 16S ribosomal RNA". It matches the Rfam family "Bacterial small subunit ribosomal RNA", at positions 30 to 525 of the family's 1533-position model. The record is from RNAcentral.
AUUGAACGCUGGCGGCAGGCCUAACACAUGCAAGUAGAACGCAGUUGCGAACGGGUGAGUAACGCGUAGGUAACUGCCUCAUAGCGGGGGAUUACUAUUUGAAACGAUAGCUAAUACCGCAUACUGUGAGAUGGACCUGCGUUGUAUUAGCUAGUUGGUGAGGUAAAGGCUCACCAAGGCGACGAUACAUAGCCGACCUGAGAGGGUGACAAGCCACACGGGGACUGAGACACGGCCCAGACUCCUACGGGAGGCAGCAGGAGGGAAUCUUCGGCAAGGGACGGAAGGCUGACCGCGCAACGCCGCGUGAGUGAAGAAGGUUUUCGGAUCGUAAAGCUAUGUUGUUAGAGAAGCUGUAACUAACCAGAAAGGGACGGCGAACUACGUGCAAGCAGCGGCGGAAAUA